UCCGGUUGAUCCUGCCGGACCCUAUUGCUAUCGGGAUGAGACUAAGCCAUGCGAGUUGUGCGCUCCCUAGCCAUGUUGGGAGAGCAGCGAACGGCUCAGUAACACGUAGUUAAUCUGCCCUUAGGACGGGAAUAACCCUGGGAAACUGGGAUUAAUACCUGAUAGAUGGAAGCGCCUGGAAUGGUCUUCCGUUGAAAAGUUCUUGAGAACAUGCUCCCAAGAAUGCCUAAGGAUGAGACUGCGACCUAUCAGGCUGUUGGUGGGGUAACGGCCCACCAAACCUAUAACAGGUACGGGCCCUGAAAGGGGGAGCCCGGAGAUGGGAACUGAGACAAGGUCCCAGGCCCUACGGGGCGCAGCAGGCGCGAAAACUCCGCAAUGCGCGAAAGCGUGACGGGGUUAACCCGAGUGCCGUCCGUGAGGAUGGCUUUUCUUCAGUGUAAGGAGCUGGAGGAAUAAAGGGGGGGCAAGUCUGGUGUCAGCCGCCGCGGUAAUACCAGCCCCCUGAGUGAUAGGGACGAUUAUUUAGCCUAAAGCGUUCGUAGCCGGUCAAGUAAGUCUUUCGUUAAAUCUGACGGCUUAAUCGUCAGACCGCGGAAGAUACUGCUAGACUUGAGGGCGGGAGAGGUUGACGGUAGUCCCGGGGUAGGGGUGAAAUCCUAUAAUCCCGGGAGGACCACCAGUGGCGAAGGCGGUCAACUAGAACGCGCCUGACGGUGAGGGACGAAAGCUGGGGUAGCGAACCGGAUUAGACACCCGGGUAGUCCCAGCUGUAAACGAUGCGGGCUAGGUGUUGGAGCAGCUACGGGCUGCUCCAGUGCCGCAGAGAAGUUGUUAAGCCCGCCGCUUGGGAAGUACGGUCGCAAGGCUGAAACUUAAAGGAAUUGGCGGGGGAGCACCACAAGGGGUGAAGCCUGCGGUUUAAU
This 926-nucleotide ribosomal RNA is filed under the name uncultured crenarchaeote. RNAcentral's name for it is "bacterial SSU rRNA". It matches the Rfam family "Archaeal small subunit ribosomal RNA", at positions 1 to 906 of the family's 1478-position model. The record is from RNAcentral. Lineage: Archaea; Thermoproteati; Thermoproteota.